GAUGAAGAACGUAGCGAAACGCGAUAAGUAAUGUGAAUUGCAGAAUCCAGUGAAUCAUCGAAUCUUUGAACGCACAUUGCGCCCGCCAGCAUUCUGGCGGGCAUGCCUGUUCGAGCGUCAUUUCAACCCUCGACCUCCCCUUGGGGAGGUCGGCGUUGGGGACCGGCAGCACACCGCCGGCCCUGAAAUGGAGUGGCGGCCCGUCCGCGGCGAUCUCUGCGCAGUAAUACAGCUCGCACCGGGACCCCGACGCGGCCACGCCGUAAAACACCCAACUUCUGAACGUUGACCUCGAAUCAGGUAGGACUACCCGCUGAACUUAAGCAUAUCAAUAAGCGGAGGA
Molecule: unclassified non-coding RNA, 343 nt
Filed under: soil metagenome
Description: partial contains 5.8S ribosomal RNA, internal transcribed spacer 2, and large subunit ribosomal RNA
Rfam family: 5.8S ribosomal RNA (bases 1-120)
Source: RNAcentral